This 405-nucleotide ribosomal RNA is filed under the name Trochopodinae sp. 4 EMP-2009. RNAcentral describes it as "eukaryotic LSU rRNA". It matches the Rfam family "Eukaryotic large subunit ribosomal RNA", at positions 64 to 439 of the family's 3401-position model. Lineage: Eukaryota; Metazoa; Platyhelminthes; Monogenea; Capsalidea; Capsalidae. The record is from RNAcentral.
ACUAAACAGGAUUCUCUUAGUAACGGCGAGUGAACAGAGAUUAGCCCAACAUCGAAGCCGCCAUGCAUUUGUGUGGAAGGCAAUGUGAUGUAAAGGUGUCUGCUUUCGCAUUUCGGCUAACUUGAAGUCCAUAUUUGACUGUGGCUUUGCAAUGCACCCAUAGAUGGUGAAAGGCCCGUUCAGGUUGGUAUUCAGACAAGACGAUUUGCGUAUAUGCAUUCGCCAUGGAGUCGGAUUGCUUGAGAGUGCAGUCCAAAUUUGGUGGUAAACUCCAUCUAAGGCUAAAUACCUGUACGAGUCCGAUAGUCGACAAGUACCGUGAGGGAAAGUUGAAAAGUACUCUGAAGAGAGAGUAAAUAGUACGUGAAACUACAUGGAGGUUAAACAGAUAGAGUCAAGCUGCGU